GAGGAGUCACCGAGCAGCUAUUCAAUGGCAGAGACUGCCUGGCAGCUCUUUAGAAAGUUGUGUGACGUAUGAACCAGUUCUUCCCUAUAUGAGAGUGUACCGUACAUCGCAGGCUGUCCAGCAUCGACCCCACUGAUGGAUGCUAGUAGUCCUCCCCGCCAGCACUCAACAUUGUGACAGUCAAAAACAUCCUCUCUACAUUUUCAAUGCCCCUGUUGGGGUAGCAGGACUCCCACUGAGAGACCCCAGUAGAGAUGGUAAGUGGAGGCAGAGCAGCACCUCUCACACUUCCAUGUGCCCUUGAAUGCCCCCACGGAUCUUGCUAACAUGCAGAUUUAGGAUGUCUGGGGUGGAGCCUGAGAAUCUGCAUUUCUACCAGCUGUUCUUGGACCCAGGCUGGCGAGAUCAGAGGAAGAAGAAAUGACCUUGGGUUUAGGUAGCAAAGACUUCACAGAAAAGAAGGGAACAUAAACAAGGUUUUGAAGAAUACAUGGAGGUGGAGCUGAUGACAUCCCACGAGGUGCAGGCUGCUGGGAGGCAGGCACACUGGACCAGCGGAGAGGGAUCCGUACG
Molecule: long non-coding RNA, 573 nt
Organism: Homo sapiens (human)
Lineage: Eukaryota; Metazoa; Chordata; Mammalia; Primates; Hominidae
Product: long intergenic non-protein coding RNA 2532
Source: Ensembl